AUUGAACGCUGGCGGCAGGCCUAACACAUGCAAGUCGAGCGGAUGAAGGGAGCUUGCUCCUGGAUUCAGCGGCGGACGGGUGAGUAAUGCCUAGGAAUCUGCCUGGUAGUGGGGGAUAACGUCCGGAAACGGGCGCUAAUACCGCAUACGUCCUGAGGGAGAAAGUGGGGGAUCUUCGGACCUCACGCUAUCAGAUGAGCCUAGGUCGGAUUAGCUAGUUGGUGGGGUAAAGGCCUACCAAGGCGACGAUCCGUAACUGGUCUGAGAGGAUGAUCAGUCACACUGGAACUGAGACACGGUCCAGACUCCUACGGGAGGCAGCAGUGGGGAAUAUUGGACAAUGGGCGAAAGCCUGAUCCAGCCAUGCCGCGUGUGUGAAGAAGGUCUUCGGAUUGUAAAGCACUUUAAGUUGGGAGGAAAGGCAGUAAGUUAAUACCUUGCUGUUUUGACGUUACCAACAGAAUAAGCACCGGCUAACUUCGU
This 483-nucleotide ribosomal RNA is filed under the name uncultured bacterium. Its description in RNAcentral is "partial 16S ribosomal RNA". It matches the Rfam family "Bacterial small subunit ribosomal RNA", at positions 30 to 506 of the family's 1533-position model. The record is from RNAcentral.